Molecule: long non-coding RNA, 213 nt
Organism: Engraulis encrasicolus (European anchovy)
Lineage: Eukaryota; Metazoa; Chordata; Actinopteri; Clupeiformes; Engraulidae
Exons: 3
Source: RefSeq, a predicted model, not a curated record
GGCAUGUUGCGGGUGACGUGUCCUUCAAGCUGCCUGUCCGUCCUCAAAUGUCUCCCUCAGUGCAGGUCGUGGUCUACUGCGUCCUACCCAGUGAAAUAGUGGUGACUGCAAGCAACACUUUUGCCAUUGAGAAAUGCUUCUCAAAUAAGGUGUCGGUGCAGUUCUGGCCCCCCAGAUCGGUCCCUGGAGAGCAGGGCUCCCUGCAGCUGUCUG